Molecule: ribosomal RNA, 239 nt
Filed under: uncultured Staphylococcus sp.
Lineage: Bacteria; Bacillati; Bacillota; Bacilli; Caryophanales; Staphylococcaceae
Description: partial 16S ribosomal RNA
Rfam family: Bacterial small subunit ribosomal RNA
Source: RNAcentral
AGUAACACGUGGGUAACCUACCUAUAAGACUGGAAUAACUCCGGGAAACCGGGGCUAAUGCCGGAUAACAUUUAGAACCGCAUGGUUCUAAAGUGAAAGAUGGUUUUGCUAUCACUUAUAGAUGGACCCGCGCCGUAUUAGCCAGUUGGUAAGGUAAUGGCUUACCAAGGCAACGAUACGUAGCCGACCUGAGAGGGUGAUCGGCCACACUGGAACUGAGACACGGUCCAGACUCCUAC